AAACAUCACUGAUGAUGUUCAUGAAUCCCCAGCUGACUCUGAUGGAGUCAGAAGACAACAGUCACCUGAAGGGGCUGAAAAUUGUAAAGACCCUACAGAACAAUCAGUAAAUGUGAGUAAAUCUGUGAUUCUGUGAGUAACACACUGGGUUCAGUUUGGAGGUUGAACUCUCACUCACCAGGCCGACAGCCGUCUGUGCCACAGUUAAACUCAUGCAGUGCUAAUUUAAAAACUCUCAAAUAUUUUGGACAAUUUAUAUUUUUCUAUCACAAAACAUACAAGUCUUCAUUGAAGUAAACACACAGAGCAGUAGUGGAUUUUUUUUAAAAUAUUAUUUUUCUUUAUUUUGAUUUGCUGCUAACUGCAUUGGUUCUAUUUGUAGUUUUGUAGUAGGGAGCACUACAAAAACUACAAAUAAAAAAAUCCAAUUAACAAAUUUUGUGCUCUCUACUAUCAGCACCCCUCACUUGAAUUUUUGUUUUUCAGUUUAAGCCAAUUAAAUUCAAUCCAAAAAUUCAACCCCAACAAUCAAGUGAUCCCCUAUGAGCAAGCACAAGGCAACGGUGGACAGGAAAAACUCCCUUUAACAGGAAGAAACCUGUGACAGAACCAGGCUCAGGGAGGGGCAGUCUUCUGUCAUGACUGGUUGGGAGGUGAGGGCAAAAUAAAAUUGAACAUAAAGGAGAGCACAGUAUAGUUAUGACAGGUUGUGGACCGUGGCUGGAAAACAUUAUUACUGUUUUCAAAAGGCACCCGGUCGACAUCCACAAUUACAGUAGGGCUGGAAUGGAUAAUAAGGAUAAUCCCACAGAGGACGGACAUUCACUUCAGCUGAAAAUAUUUGAGACGGCCCAGCAAGCUGCAGGAACAACAACGGCUGCUGUGACAAGACCUAGACCUACUUUAAGUGCGAGUUUGGCACCAGCACGCCACCAACUACUAGUCUGAGCCUCAUCAGGAGGUGGUUCUGUGACAGGAGUGUUAUGUUCCUCAUGUUCAGCUGCACGUGUAAUUAUUAAACGCUGUGAUACUUCCGCUUUGAUCACAAGGUUGUUUAAAGCACUCCUGAUUUUCGCAUUCUCUUCCUUUAGUUCAUUUACCCCCCUUUCAAUGUUGUCCAGCUUAGUGAUAAUCAUUCUGUUCUGCUCCACGAGAAACCCUUCAUACUGACCUAUUCUUCUCUCGAUUGACUCAAACGUUCUGUGCAACUGCUGCAGAGACUCAUGGCAUCUGGCAGCACAACGGCACCGACCACUAGUGUGAGCCUCGUCACGAUAUGGUUCUGCGAAGGAAGUCUCACGUUCAGUUGCAUUUUGAUUUGCCACUUGGAUCUCAAGAUUAUGUAUAGUUUUCCUGAGAGCCCUGUUCUCUUUCUCUAAUUGACACAUCUUACUGUUAGCCUUGGCCAGCUUUACAAUGAGAAGCGCUCUCUCUCGCAGUUGAUGUGAUUCCUCUGUAUUAUCUCUGUCCGUAGGUGAAUUAUUUAAUGUUUCCUCUGACAUUUCUUUAACAGUAUAAAAGCACAGUGUCAAAAGAAAAAAACUUUGUAUGAAUUGUAUGAAUGUAAAAGUAUUAUCUUUGUCAAAGACAACUCGCUUUGCAAAAACGACUCGCUGUUUCUGAAGCCGCACGAAGGUAAGUAAACUGUGUUAAAGCACCUGUAUUUAUGGAUUCAUGUGGCAGAGAUGGUGACGUCGACUGCCACGUCACAGUCUCUCCUUUGAGUAGAUCAAAGCAUCAAAGAAGCAUUUAAUUUGUUUUUGAUUGAAAUUGAAUAUUACUUAAACUCUCUUAAAUUAACUUCCAAUAAAAAAGGUUUAUCAUUGAUUGAAAUUCAUUCAGAGAUGUUUAAUGAAUGAGCUGUCACAAAUAUAACUUUUAAAGUACAUAGUUGUUAUGAAGUCUGUCACAUCCCUCCUUUUUUUUUUUUCUCUUUUUCCUUUAUUUAUUUAUCCUUCUUAUUUCAUCAUACUGUAUAUUGUUACUGUUAUUUGUCUUGUUUGUCUACUGUACAAACUGAACUGGAAUGACUGACUGUUCACUUUAUAAUUUCAAAUAAAGUUGUAUUAAAAAAAAAAAAAAAAAAAAAAA
Oreochromis niloticus (Nile tilapia) is the source of this 2091-nucleotide long non-coding RNA. RefSeq lists it as uncharacterized. The record is from RefSeq and is a predicted model, not a curated record. NCBI's taxonomy places the organism in Eukaryota, Metazoa, Chordata, Actinopteri, Cichliformes, Cichlidae. The transcript has 2 exons.